GGCUGACUGCACAGCUGUGUGCGGGAUGCUCCACAGACGAGAAAGCAGAGGCCGCGGAGAGGACCAACGACUUCCGAUCACAGCCCCUCCGCCUCAUGUGACCGGGCUUCAGGAACGCUGACGCACUUUGAGGACCGGCCGGAAUAACUUCCAAAGGGCGUAAGGAUGAAAGGGCUGACCCAGAAAGACAUUCCCCAAGCUGUCUUUCAGCUCUGUUGUUCUGUAGUUUUUAUCCUCCUACAAACCAGGAGCUGAGAGCACCAAGCCCUGUGUUUGAAGAAGAGUACUUUCCAGACAUGAGGAAGCCCCUGAAGGAUCUUGGGCAAGAGAGUGACGUGAUCAAUCAUAGCUUUUAGAAGAGGGGCGGCCUGGAGGGAUGGGCUCUGCUGUGGAGAGGAGGGCAUGCUCCAUGUGCACGAGGUGGUUGAAGCCACGAGAGUGAAUGAGACCACCCAGGAGGGGACAGGGUGUGAAGCGAAGAGGGAGCCUGAGGGGACAGCAGCCUGGAGCGGGUGAGGAAGAGGAGUGGUAAAGGAGGGGGGCUUCUCUGUGACCCCCAACCCUGGUGCAGCUGGCCUCAGCCUGAUGUCCAUGCCCUCCCUCUCCCUUCCUCUCAGUGGGCUGCCUCAAUCUCCCCAAUUGCUGGAACCUGG
Molecule: long non-coding RNA, 653 nt
Filed under: Equus caballus (horse)
Lineage: Eukaryota; Metazoa; Chordata; Mammalia; Perissodactyla; Equidae
Description: lncRNA (ENSECAG00000043171.2)
Source: RNAcentral